Molecule: non-coding RNA, 109 nt
Organism: Hypoxylon fuscum
Lineage: Eukaryota; Fungi; Ascomycota; Sordariomycetes; Xylariales; Hypoxylaceae
Source: the annotation of a GenBank genome assembly
GGUCCCGUGGUAUAAUGGCAACACAUUCCAACAUUACGCUAUUCUUAGCAAACACAUCAGAGGAGAUGUCAAUGAUGGAAAGUUAUGGGUUCGAACCCCAUCAGGACCA